ACAUCGGUAGCACAGUGGUCAGUGCAGUCUGCCGAAAACAGAAAGACGCGGGUUCAAUUCCCGUCCGAUGUC
This is a non-coding RNA of Nippostrongylus brasiliensis, 72 nucleotides long. NCBI's taxonomy places the organism in Eukaryota, Metazoa, Nematoda, Chromadorea, Rhabditida, Heligmosomidae. The record is from Rfam.